GCCUUCAUGUUCGCCACUGGUGCCACAACUCGCCGGUGACUCAUCUUCAUGUUGUCGACGAUGACGCACCUUGUUGACGACUCGCACAUGAAACUCGUUAUGGCAAUGGCCUCCGCUCCAUGGCCACCACCUCCAUGCCGCCGGUGACACAACUUACCAGGUGACAUACCUUUCUUCAUCACUCGUGACGCAGCUCGACGAUGAUGAAGACACACACCAGCCGCUAGCAGCAUCACACCGCCAACGGUGUCCACCUUGCGCCGCCGACGCCCCCCUCACAUGGAGGCCGUCACGCAACCACACUGUGUCCGCCAUGGCAACCGCAACGCCGCGCACCUCCAUAGGCCGACACACGGUCCGAAGCUUCGCGCGGCCGCCGAUGAACGCCGCCCUCGCCGGCACGCCUCCGACAUGACGAACGACGCCCAAAACAACCAAGCUCAUGAUACCAAAUGUUGGCGCCGCCCUCGUUGCAGCGCCACUUGGUGUUCCUCGCAACCUCUCCUCUCAAGGUUUUCUCAAGAACAUAACACAUACACAUGUGAGAAACUCUACACACACGCACACAACCAGGGAGAAGACCAGCCAUUGCUUUGCACCAGAGGCACUUCUCCUUGGUGGAACAAGAGACUACAUUG
RNAcentral lists this long non-coding RNA (638 nucleotides) under Hordeum vulgare. Its description in RNAcentral is "long non-coding RNA (HVUL_LNC008308)". Lineage: Eukaryota; Viridiplantae; Streptophyta; Magnoliopsida; Poales; Poaceae. The record is from RNAcentral.